UACGGCGGAAUGGGUGGAUACGGAGGAAUGGGUGGAUACGGCGGAAUGAGUGGAGGUGGAUAUGGAGGAUAUUGGCCAGGUGGUAAUAGAUAUUGGUGGACAUAUGGUAGAAGAAUUGGAAGUGGGAGAUGGUCAAGCUCUAAGAAAGGAAGUGUUUACUAGACUGGUUCUUUCAGAAUGACACAGACGAUAUGGAAUUCCUUUUUAUAUAUACAUCUUAUAUACUAGUAGAUAUUAGUAAACUUUGCAGCCCA
This is a long non-coding RNA of Mytilus californianus (California mussel), 254 nucleotides long. RefSeq lists it as uncharacterized. The transcript has 2 exons. Lineage: Eukaryota; Metazoa; Mollusca; Bivalvia; Mytilida; Mytilidae. The record is from RefSeq and is a predicted model, not a curated record.